This 1260-nucleotide ribosomal RNA is filed under the name metagenome. Its description in RNAcentral is "bacterial SSU rRNA". It matches the Rfam family "Bacterial small subunit ribosomal RNA", at positions 8 to 1289 of the family's 1533-position model. The record is from RNAcentral.
AGAGUUUGAUCCUGGCUCAGGACGAACGCUGGCGGCGCGCCUAACACAUGCAAGUCGAACGAGCGAGAGAGAGCUUGCUUUCUCGAGCGAGUGGCGAACGGGUGAGUAACGCGUGAGGAACCUGCCUCAAAGAGGGGGACAACAGUUGGAAACGACUGCUAAUACCGCAUAAGCCCACGGGUCGGCAUCGACCAGAGGGAAAAGGAGCAAUCCGCUUUGAGAUGGCCUCGCGUCCGAUUAGCUAGUUGGUGAGGUAAUGGCCCACCAAGGCGACGAUCGGUAGCCGGACUGAGAGGUUGAACGGCCACAUUGGGACUGAGACACGGCCCAGACUCCUACGGGAGGCAGCAGUGGGGAAUAUUGCACAAUGGGGGAAACCCUGAUGCAGCGACGCCGCGUGGAGGAAGAAGGUCUUCGGAUUGUAAACUCCUGUUGUUGGGGAAGAUAAUGACGGUACCCAACAAGGAAGUGACGGCUAACUACGUGCCAGCAGCCGCGGUAAAACGUAGGUCACAAGCGUUGUCCGGAAUUACUGGGUGUAAAGGGAGCGCAGGCGGGAAGACAAGUUGGAAGUGAAAUCUAUGGGCUCAACCCAUAAACUGCUUUCAAAACUGUUUUUCUUGAGUAGUGCAGAGGUAGGCGGAAUUCCCGGUGUAGCGGUGGAAUGCGUAGAUAUCGGGAGGAACACCAGUGGCGAAGGCGGCCUACUGGGCACCAACUGACGCUGAGGCUCGAAAGUGUGGGUAGCAAACAGGAUUAGAUACCCUGGUAGUCCACACCGUAAACGAUGAUUACUAGGUGUUGGAGGAUUGACCCCUUCAGUGCCGCAGUUAACACAAUAAGUAAUCCACCUGGGGAGUACGACCGCAAGGUUGAAACUCAAAGGAAUUGACGGGGGCCCGCACAAGCAGUGGAGUAUGUGGUUUAAUUCGACGCAACGCGAAGAACCUUACCAAGUCUUGACAUCCCUUGACAGACAUAGAAAUAUGUAAUCUCUUCGGAGCAAGGAGACAGGUGGUGCAUGGUUGUCGUCAGCUCGUGUCGUGAGAUGUUGGGUUAAGUCCCGCAACGAGCGCAACCCUUAUGGUCAGUUACUACGCAAGAGGACUCUGGCCAGACUGCCGUUGACAAAACGGAGGAAGGUGGGGAUGACGUCAAAUCAUCAUGCCCUUUAUGACUUGGGCUACACACGUACUACAAUGGCGUUAAACAAAGAGAAGCAAGACCGCGAGGUGGAGCAAAACUCAGAAACAACGUCCC